GACGAACGCUGGCGGCGUGCCUAAUACAUGCAAGUCGAGCGGAACUGGGGGAGCUUGCUCCUUCCAGUUUAGCGGCGGACGGGUGAGUAACACGUGGGCAACCUGCCCUGCAGAUCGGGAUAACUCCGGGAAACCGGUGCUAAUACCGAAUAGUUUGGCGCCUCUCCUGAGGCGCUACGGAAAGACGGUUUCGGCUGUCACUGCAGGAUGGGCCCGCGGCGCAUUAGCUAGUUGGUGGGGUAACGGCCCACCAAGGCGACGAUGCGUAGCCGACCUGAGAGGGUGACCGGCCACACUGGGACUGAGACACGGCCCAGACUCCUACGGGAGGCGGCAGUAGGGAAUCUUCCGCAAUGGACGCAAGUCUGACGGAGCAACGCCGCGUGAGUGACGAAGGUUUUCGGAUCGUAAAACUCUGUUGUGAGGGAAGAACACGUACCAACUAACUAUUGGUACCUUGACGGUACCUCACCAGAAAGCCACGGCUAACUACGUGCCAGCCGCCGCCGUAC
Molecule: ribosomal RNA, 512 nt
Filed under: uncultured bacterium
Lineage: Bacteria
Description: partial 16S ribosomal RNA
Rfam family: Bacterial small subunit ribosomal RNA
Source: RNAcentral